UCUAAUCCAAGAUAUGGUUGCUGGUAGAAGCUCUAGUCAGAAAUUAUACUCUACGUCAGCCAUCGGAGGUGGCUUCACAAUCUCUUCUGUCGGCUUUCGGACGAAACAAAUGGUCCACUCUAUGCAACUAUUAAGCUCUGCCUUGUUAAACGAGAGGCGCCCCCUAUUCAAGCUCUCCUGGUUAGGCUUAAAAAUGAGGGCAAAUAAUUUG
Molecule: long non-coding RNA, 211 nt
Filed under: Elaeis guineensis (African oil palm)
Lineage: Eukaryota; Viridiplantae; Streptophyta; Magnoliopsida; Arecales; Arecaceae
Description: long non-coding RNA (EGUI_LNC057577)
Source: RNAcentral